RNAcentral lists this ribosomal RNA (330 nucleotides) under uncultured bacterium. RNAcentral's name for it is "bacterial SSU rRNA". It matches the Rfam family "Bacterial small subunit ribosomal RNA", at positions 568 to 898 of the family's 1533-position model. The record is from RNAcentral.
CACGCAGGCGGAUCGAUAAGUCAGGGGUGAAAUCCCGGGGCUCAACCUCGGAAUUGCCUUUGAUACUGUCUAUCUUGAGUUCGGGAGAGGUUGGCGGAAUUCCUAGUGUAGAGGUGAAAUUCGUAGAUAUUAGGAAGAACACCAGUGGCGAAGGCGGCCAACUGGCCCGAUACUGACGCUCAUGUGCGAAAGCGUGGGGAGCAAACAGGAUUAGAUACCCUGGUAGUCCACGCCGUAAACUAUGGAUGCUAGCCGUUGGGGAGCUUGCUCUUCAGUGGCGCAGCUAACGUCUUAAGCAUCCCGCCUGGGGAGUACGGUCGCAAGAUUAAA